UUUAAUCCCCUGCCAUCUCUUCCCCACCUCUUCCUCCCUACCUAAUAUUCAUGGGUUGUGUUUCAGGCCUAGAUUCGUUGAGACAGAGCUACAAAUGUUAAUAAUGGUGGUGCUAAGAUGAGGAUCCGAGGUUCCCCUCUCCCACGUCAAAUCUCCUUUUUGCAUUGAGUUUGGUCUGAAUUACUCUGUGUGUGCAAAAGAAAUAUCAAUGCUAAUUAGUUUUAUACUGAAAAAACAAGACAACCAAUGUAUGAACUUUUCAGUCUUUUAUAUUUGCAGACUAGUGCCUUAAAAAACCAUCUCCACUAACAUGUGUGUGUGGCCUAGGAAGGAAUAGUACGAUGGCGUCUCGCUGGAGCGACGAGGUUGCCAUGGCUGCUCCUCCAUAUAAAGUUUGAUAUUGCUUUGCUCAAGUGCUUAGUGUGUGCUUUGCAGCUUUCAUUAGAAGAGUUGAACAACGGCAAGGGAUAACAUCAGUAGGUCAGCUUGCUUUGAGAUUAAUACUGCCGACGGAGAUGUUAUUUGGAAUUGCUUUGUGUGCAAUUAAUUAUCAGAUGCCCCUACGCCGCAGGGACUUACUACAGACAAUUGCAAUCUGCACACCAGAUUGGUUCUAUGUCAGAUGAUCUUU
This is a non-coding RNA of Lolium perenne, 631 nucleotides long. Lineage: Eukaryota; Viridiplantae; Streptophyta; Magnoliopsida; Poales; Poaceae. The record is from RefSeq and is a predicted model, not a curated record.